AUCUCAGACAAGCCAAUUCUUUCAGCACACCCCAAAGAAAAAUGCAGACCGUGCUUUCAGAACAGCAGGCGCCACUAACAAACACUGAUGCCACUUCUCACAAGAGACAAGGAAGAUGACAAUCAUGAGGGUGAUGUUCCAGUCUUCUGCUGUGCCAGUGGCCAACACUCAGGAGCAGUAGUCAGAGUUUACAGUAAAGAAAAAGAGGACAGCAUAACAGAGCAGUUGGAGUAUGUCUACAUUCUAUCAAGGUCACUUUCAGCCCAGAAAUCCAGUGAAACACAUUUGUUCAACACUGAAGUAAAAGUACUUUCUCACUGUGUGAUGACAGGCACAUGUAAACCACUGUCCUUGCAACUGUUAUUUUUUAUCCUGCCUGCUACUCUUCACCUGCUCUCCUGGGUAUUUCUUGCUCUGUUCCUUGCUCCUUUAACCGCAAGUAUUUGAGCUGUUUAGAUUCUGUUAGAAUACAUAUAGCCCAUAGAACUUCAUACAGUCCUAUUGUUCAUACAUGUCUAGGCAAAUAUGAAACAUAUUUUCUUUCCCUUUUUCAUCUUUCCCGGUUUUAACAUUUUUCCCCAUUUAUUGGGCACACUUGUCAACGCUGGUUAACCCAGGUUUCAGUGCACAGUUACAAUAUGUACACUACAAUGCGCCAUAUAUUGUAUAUAAUAUGAUUAUCUUGCAUAACUUGACUUAUUUUUAAACAGAAGUGCCUCCCAAGCACACAGGAACAGAGUGAGAAGUGUUGCUUCUUGAGAAAGUCAGAGUCUGGCCUAUUGGCUGCCUGCUGUGAACAGAGUGAUGAUAGGUCAUGUUCAUUCCAUGACUGGAACUGGAAGUGAUCUCAGUCUGCUUUUCAGAGAGAAAAGAAUUCUCUAGAAAGAUCAGGGUUCAAAUACAUUCUAGUUACAAUACAAAAAGAUGUAGCUCUACCACAAAAGCUAACUAAUUCAUUUAAUUUGCAUCUUCUUCUCUCCACCCCCCUUCUCCCUUCCCCAUCUUUUCUUUUUUUUACCAGAAGAACAAGGUGUAAGUUCGUUUAAGAACUGAACUUAUGAGCAGGGUAUUUAUUGAACCACUAGUACAUCAGAAGUAGCAAAAAUAACCCCUGUUAUUUAAAAGAAUGAGCCACUUGUGCUUAAC
RNAcentral lists this long non-coding RNA (1146 nucleotides) under Cairina moschata (Muscovy duck). RNAcentral describes it as "domestica (muscovy Duck (domestic type)) lncRNA (ENSCMMG00000015617.1)". The record is from RNAcentral. Lineage: Eukaryota; Metazoa; Chordata; Aves; Anseriformes; Anatidae.